GUGCUCGCUUCGGCAGCACAUAUAGUAAAAUUGGAACGAUACAGAAAAGAUUAGCAUGGCCCCUGCACAAGGAUGACACACAAAUUUGUGAAGCAUUCCAUAUUUUU
Molecule: small nuclear RNA, 107 nt
Organism: Gorilla gorilla gorilla (western lowland gorilla)
Lineage: Eukaryota; Metazoa; Chordata; Mammalia; Primates; Hominidae
Source: Ensembl